Molecule: ribosomal RNA, 492 nt
Filed under: uncultured bacterium
Lineage: Bacteria
Description: partial 16S ribosomal RNA
Rfam family: Bacterial small subunit ribosomal RNA
Source: RNAcentral
AGUGAACGCUGGCGGUAGGCCUAACACAUGCAAGUCGAACGGCAGCACAGUAAGAGCUUGCUCUUACGGGUGGCGAGUGGCGGACGGGUGAGGAAUACAUCGGAAUCUACUUUUUCGUGGGGGAUAACGUAGGGAAACUUACGCUAAUACCGCAUACGACCUACGGGUGAAAGCAGGGGAUCUUCGGACCUUGCGCGAUUGAAUGAGCCGAUGUCGGAUUAGCUAGUUGGCGGGGUAAAGGCCCACCAAGGCGACGAUCCGUAGCUGGUCUGAGAGGAUGAUCAGCCGCACUGGAACUGAGACACGGUCCAGACUCCUACGGGAGGCAGCAGUGGGGAAUAUUGGACAAUAGGCGCAAGCCUGAUCCAGCCAUACCGCGUGGGUGAAGAAGGCCUUCGGGUUGUAAAGCCCUUUUGUUGGGAAAGAAAAGCAGCAGGUUAAUACCCCGCUGUUCUGACGGUACCCAAAGAAUAAGCACCGGCUAACUUCGUG